GUAGGAAUAGCUCAGUGGUACGGCGCAUGCUUGGCAGGCACGAGGUCCUGGGUUCAAUCCCCAGUACCUCCA
This 72-nucleotide transfer RNA is filed under the name Camelus bactrianus (Bactrian camel). It matches the Rfam family "tRNA". From Rfam's summary of the family: Transfer RNA (tRNA) molecules are approximately 80 nucleotides in length. Their secondary structure includes four short double-helical elements and three loops (D, anti-codon, and T loops). Further hydrogen bonds mediate the characteristic L-shaped molecular structure. tRNAs have two regions of fundamental functional importance: the anti-codon, which is responsible for specific mRNA codon recognition, and the 3' end, to which the tRNAs corresponding amino acid is attached (by aminoacyl-tRNA synthetases). tRNAs cope with the degeneracy of the genetic code in two manners: having more than one tRNA (with a specific anti-codon) for a particular amino acid; and 'wobble' base-pairing, i.e. permitting non-standard base-pairing at the 3rd anti-codon position. The record is from Rfam by way of RNAcentral. RNAcentral also lists the same sequence under 2 other names. Lineage: Eukaryota; Metazoa; Chordata; Mammalia; Artiodactyla; Camelidae.